Homo sapiens (human) is the source of this 1819-nucleotide long non-coding RNA. RefSeq lists it as uncharacterized. NCBI's taxonomy places the organism in Eukaryota, Metazoa, Chordata, Mammalia, Primates, Hominidae. The record is from RefSeq and is a predicted model, not a curated record. The transcript is spliced from 5 exons.
AUCAGGAAAACAACGUGCUGAUUCCUGAGCCUCAGAAAACUGAGAAGUAGGCAGGGCUAUACCAUUUUCUCUGCACUUUAUGAGCAUAAUAAUUCUUCAAAGGACUGGCUGCAUCUACAAAUACCUACUAAAUGGAAACCGUCAAAUCAAAUGGGAGGCUCACAGCAGAUGCCAACUCCACCGAGCGGAUCUGGGCCAGGGUGAAGAAACGGAACUGCAGAGAGGUUAAGCCACCUGGGGCAGGAACUAGGAUGGAAAUCCAGGCAGUCUUGUUGCUGAGACCAUCUCCAUAAUCCUCUGCUAAACUUCUUCCUACCGAGAAAGACAUGUUCUGGGAGAGCAAGGGCUAAGAGGCUGCUCCUUGAUUCCCCCUGAGUGCCCGCCCUCCAGCCCUCACUCCAGUGAGGGGCCUGACCUGAAACAGCUGUCUGCCCUUGCCAGGCUCAGAGAGUCUCACACUGUCACCAGGCUGGCGUGUAGUGGCGCAAUCUCGGCUCACUGCAACUUCCACCUCCCGGAUUCAAGCAAUUCUUCUGCCUCAGCCUCCUGAGUAGCUGGGACUACAGAACAGAAGCUAAAGCAGAAAGAAGUUUAAUGGAGACCUGGAAGCCUCUCCGUAAAGACUCUGGGGCAGGAAUGGGAUCUGUUUGCAGGGCUCAGGGAGGACCCACGGCUCCUGUGGAGGCUUACGCGGCACCUGAGAAGUGAUCAGUCAGGAAGAGCUACCUGGAGUACCUGAGCCCAACCAGAUAUUCUUUUCCCCGCCGUCUUCCCCGGGAUCCAGCAAUUUAUAUUCCCUACCUCAGGAAAUCUUGGAAAAGUUAUUCCAGCAGAAUGAAGCAAUGUACUAUUCCAGCAGAACAUAGUCAGGACCUGGUGACGUGGGGGUUUGGCAAUGAUCAAUGACCCUGGUGUCAUACUCUAAAUUUGUUUCAAAAGUGGCAGCAGGGGAGAAGGAGGCAGUGAAAUCAAUACUUGAAGUUUGUCUUGAUUGGAUGGGGUGUGUGUUUUCUUUUCCACCCUAGUUGUUGUUGAAGCUGUUUACCAAAAGGCUGUGCAAAUAGGAUUAGUCAGCUCCAGGGCCAUUAAUAACCCGCUGGACAGAGCUGGCUCCAUUCCAAUUGAUUUUUGAAUUUUUGAAGCUGUCCAUUUUUUUGGAGCAGAGAUGAAAGCCCCAGAGGGGCUGGUAUGAAAGCAUGAGAUUUUUGCCUGUACUGGGGCUGAUCCCACAGAUGCAGGAGAUGAAACGUUCUUCCAGUGCCAUUUGCUUUCCAUCUGAAUGAGGCAGGUCCUGCGGCAGCUCUGAAGAGGCAGGGGCCAUCACAAACGAAUAUUGCAGCAGGUCAAGGGGACACUGCUAUUGUGUGCACACUGAUGGAGACCCAGAGUAAAACGUGGCCUGAGGUUUGCCAGAAUGUGCUUAAGAAGCAAACCUCACAUACCUGAAACUCUCUUCGUGCCCUCCUGUCCUUCCAAAAACUAUCAGUUCGAAUAUCCUGAGAAAUGUCACAUAGGUAAGCUGUAGGACCAUCCUUGAGAGGUUGCUGUUGGUAAAAACCAAUGGGGCCAGAAAACAUGAAUUUAUAUCCCAGCACUCUGGGCUAUAACUUUGAGCAAAUUAAUCUCUCUGAUAUUCUAUUAUAGCAAUUGUGAAUUGACAAUGUCAUCAUAGCCCAUUUCUUAUUUCUGAAAAAGUGCUUUUUCUGGAUCUCAUUCACUUAAGAACUCAAAUUCUAAACAUGGAGACCAUCAGAGCCAAGGUCCUUGUUAAAAGAAAUGUAUGUUUUAUAUAUUAAAGUUUAAAAGAAAUAUACAUAUA